RNAcentral lists this ribosomal RNA (773 nucleotides) under uncultured bacterium. RNAcentral describes it as "bacterial SSU rRNA". It matches the Rfam family "Bacterial small subunit ribosomal RNA", at positions 8 to 798 of the family's 1533-position model. The record is from RNAcentral.
AGAGUUUGAUCAUGGCUCAGGACGAACGCUGGCGGCGUGCUUAACACAUGCAAGUCGAACGGAAAGGCCCUUCGGGGUACUCGAGUGGCGAACGGGUGAGUAACACGUGGGUGAUCUGCCCUGCACUCUGGGAUAAGCCUGGGAAACUGGGUCUAAUACCGGAUAGGACCGCAUGCUUCAUGGUGUGUGGUGCAAAGCUUUUGCGGUGUGGGAUGGGCCCGCGGCCUAUCGGCUUGUUGGUGGGGUAAUGGCCUACCAAGGCGACGACGGGUAGCCGGCCUGAGAGGGUGACCGGCCACACUGGGACUGAGAUACGGCCCAGACUCCUACGGGAGGCAGCAGUGGGGAAUAUUGCACAAUGGGCGCAAGCCUGAUGCAGCGACGCCGCGUGAGGGAUGACGGCCUUCGGGUUGUAAACCUCUUUCAAUAGGGACGAAGCGCAAGUGACGGUACCUAUAGAAGAAGCACCGGCCAACUACGUGCCAGCAGCCGCGGUAAUACGUAGGGUGCGAGCGUUGUCCGGAAUUACUGGGCGUAAAGAGCUCGUAGGUGGUUUGUCGCGUUGUUCGUGAAAACUCACAGCUUAACUGUGGGCGUGCGGGCGAUACGGGCAGACUAGAGUACUGCAGGGGAGACUGGAAUUCCUGGUGUAGCGGUGGAAUGCGCAGAUAUCAGGAGGAACACCGGUGGCGAAGGCGGGUCUCUGGGCAGUAACUGACGCUGAGGAGCGAAAGCGUGGGGAGCGAACAGGAUUAGAUACCCUGGUAGUCCAA